RNAcentral lists this ribosomal RNA (253 nucleotides) under uncultured bacterium. Its description in RNAcentral is "partial 16S ribosomal RNA". It matches the Rfam family "Bacterial small subunit ribosomal RNA", at positions 524 to 776 of the family's 1533-position model. The record is from RNAcentral.
UACGUAGGGUGCGAGCGUUGUCCGGAAUUACUGGGCGUAAAGAGCUCGUAGGUGGUUUGUCGCGUUGUUCGUGAAAACUCACAGCUUAACUGUGGGCGUGCGGGCGAUACGGGCAGACUAGAGUACUGCAGGGGAGACUGGAAUUCCUGGUGUAGCGGUGAAAUGCGCAGAUAUCAGGAGGAACACCGGUGGCGAAGGCGGGUCUCUGGGCCGAAACUGACGCUGAGGCACGAAGGUCAGGGGAGCAAACGGG